GAUGAACGCUAGCGGCAGGCUUAACACAUGCAAGUCGAGGGGCAGCAUGAUAAGUAGCAAUACUUAUUGAUGGCGACCGGCGCAAGGGUGCGUAACGCGUGAGUAACAUGCCCGUAUCAGGAGGAUAACCCGGAGAAAUCCGGACUAAUACUGCAUAAUAUCGAUUUAAGGCAUCUUAGAAUGAUUAAAGUUUCGACGGAUACGGAUUGGCUCGCGUGACAUUAGCUAGAUGGUAAGGUAACGGCUUACCAUGGCGACGAUGUCUAGGGGUUCUGAGAGGAAGGUCCCCCACACUGGAACUGAGACACGGUCCAGACUCCUACGGGAGGCAGCAGUGAGGAAUAUUGGUCAAUGGACGCAAGUCUGAACCAGCCAUGCCGCGUGCAGGAUGACGGCUCUAUGAGUUGUAAACUGCUUUUGUACAAGGGUAAACCUCGGUACGUGUACCGAGCUGAAAGUACUGUACGAAUAAGGAUCGGCUAACUCCG
RNAcentral lists this ribosomal RNA (488 nucleotides) under uncultured bacterium. Its description in RNAcentral is "bacterial SSU rRNA". It matches the Rfam family "Bacterial small subunit ribosomal RNA", at positions 28 to 505 of the family's 1533-position model. The record is from RNAcentral.